Molecule: ribosomal RNA, 484 nt
Filed under: uncultured bacterium
Lineage: Bacteria
Description: partial 16S ribosomal RNA
Rfam family: Bacterial small subunit ribosomal RNA
Source: RNAcentral
AUUGAACGCUGGCGGCAGGCCUAACACAUGCAAGUCGAGCGGAUGAAGGGAGCUUGCUCCUGGAUUCAGCGGCGGACGGGUGAGUAAUGCCUAGGAAUCUGCCUGGUAGUGGGGGAUAACGUCCGGAAACGGGCGCUAAUACCGCAUACGUCCUGAGGGAGAAAGUGGGGGAUCUUCGGACCUCACGCUAUCAGAUGAGCCUAGGUCGGAUUAGCUAGUUGGUGGGGUAAAGGCCUACCAAGGCGACGAUCCGUAACUGGUCUGAGAGGAUGAUCAGUCACACUGGAACGGAGACACGGACCAGACUCCUACGGGAGGCAGCAGUGGGGAAUAUUGGACAAUGGGCGAAAGCCUUAUCCAGCCAUGCCGCGUGUGUGAAGAAGGUCUUCGGAUUGUAAAGCACUUUAAGUUGGGAGGAAGGGCAGUAAGUUAAUACCUUGCUGUUUUGACGUUACCAACAGAAUAAGCACCGGCUAACUUCGUG